CUACAUGAAGCUGGAAUCGCUAGUAAUCGCGAAUCAGAAUGUCGCGGUGAAUACGUUCCCGGGUCUUGUACACACCGCCCGUCACACCAUGGGAGUCGGAAAUGCCCGAAGCCUGUGAGCUAACUUAAAGAGGCAGCAGUCGAAGGUAGAGCCAAUGAUUGGGGUGAAGUCGUAACAAGGUAUC
Molecule: ribosomal RNA, 184 nt
Filed under: uncultured bacterium
Lineage: Bacteria
Description: partial 16S ribosomal RNA
Rfam family: Bacterial small subunit ribosomal RNA
Source: RNAcentral